GGCCUCGCGUCCUAACUCCCGGGAUCCUAACUGCCCGAGGCUGAAGGCAAAGCUCUGAGCAGCGCCGUGCGGGGCCUGAAGAGGGCGGAACCGCGCGGCUGCAGUCAACUGACUGCGUUUCCCUGGCAACGGCUCGUUCUCAGCUACAGCGCAGCGGUCCCAGGGGAGCGGCGGGCGGAGCGAGAGGCUCCAGCCAUGAAUCCGCCGGGGUCCAUGGGGGUGCUGGAGCAUAAAGCGGACGAACCCUUACUCACCCCGAUUCACGGGCCCUCGGUCCAUUCUGACGACCCGCAGGAGCGGAUCCAGGCCCGGCGCCUCCGCAUCGCCGCGCGCGUGGAAGCCAAGAGGCGGGAAGCGCUCGGAGAAUAUUUAGACGGGAAGGAGAGUGAAGAAGAUCAGAGCAAGAGCUACAAACAGAGAGAAGAGAGCAGGCUGAAAUUGGCUAAACUGCUGCUCUACGGCACUGAAUUGGUCACAAAUAUCCGGGUGGCUGUAGAUGUCAGGGAGAUCCAUAGGAGAGUGGAAGAGGAGGAGAUAAAGCGGCAGAGAAUCGAGAAGCUGGAGAACGAAGUCAAGACCAGCCAGGACAAAUUUGAUGAAAUCACUGCCAAGUGGAAAGAGGGCAGACAGAAGCGGAUUCCCCAGGAGCUGUGGGACAUGCUCACUACUCAGCAGCUGCACUGUGCUGGGCUGAUAGAAGACAAGAACAAGCUCAUCAGUGAAUUGCAGCAGGAGUUAAAAAUCAAGGAUGACCAGUAUGUGAAGGACUUGAAGAAACAGGCAGAUGACAUCUCCCUGCUUCUGGAGAGGAUGGAGGAGCAAGUGAAGAGCAUGACGAAAGCCUUCCGCCAGGAGCUCCUUCACAUCGAGAAAGCCUUUGAGGCGGAACGACAGGAGCUGCUGACCAGCAACAAGAAGAAAUGGGAGUGGGUGCUGCAGGCUCACAGCACCAAGGAGCUGGAGUACCUUGUCAACCGCAUGAAGAGAGUGGAGGAAUACGAGCAGCAGCUGAACAAGCAGCGGAUCUGGGACUGUGAAGAGUACAUCAUCAUCAAGAUCAAGCUGGAGCAGGAUGUGCAGAUUCUUGAGCAGCAGCUUCAGCAGAUGAAAGCAACGUACCAACUAAACCAAGAGAAGUUAGAGUACAACUUGCAGGUGCUGAAGAAGAGAGAUGAGGAAAACACAGUGAUUAAAUCCCAGCAGAAGAGGAAGAUCAAUCGCCUGCAUGAUAUCCUUAACAACCUGAGAUCAAAAUACACCAAGCAGAUACAGCAGUUUCAGGAAGAGAAUCAGUCUCUGACUGCAGAUUACAAACGUCUCAUGAUGCAGUUCAAGGAGCUCCAGAAAUCCAUGAGGCAUUUUGCUCUCAUUGACAACGAGAAGUUUCGGGAGAUUUGGCUGAUGAAUGAAGAGGAGGCGAAGGGACUCAUAGCCAAAGCCUUCGAUGUGGACAGGAUCAUCCACACCCAGCAUCUGGGGCUCCCCUGGACAGCACCCAACUUCUGGUUCCUGAACAAUGUGGGGCCCAUUUCCCAGCAGCCGCAGAAGUCUGCCACCCAGAUAGUAGAGGAGGUGCUGAGGCAAACAGAAGAGGCUUCCUCACAUCCAGAGUCGUACCUGGACCUGCCCAAGCAAAUUUCAGCAAAAACUACCAAAAAGAUCCUGAUGCUUCUGUGUGAUGAGUCGGGUUUCCUCAUAGAGAGCAAGUUGCUGAGCCUCCUCCUUCCACUGGAGAAGACCGAGUGCUAUCUGCUGAGGUUGGACGCCAUCUUCUCAGCCCUUGGAAUCGAAAGUGAGGAUGACUUGUACAAACUGGUGAACUUCUUCCUCAAAUACCAAGCCCACCACGGAUCCCCCAGCCAGGUGAACCCCAGGGAUGGAGCAGGAACGGAGCAGUCGAGCCUCGUGUCAGGGGUGGAGAGACUGAGCAUGAGGACAGCAGUGGAGCAGAGCAGCCUCUCAUCUGCCGUCCCAAGAGCCAGCCUGGCGCCUGGGUCGCAGCCAGCAGAGGAGACCUGGCUGGAGGAAGGAGAUGGCGGGGAGCAGGAGGAGCAGGCAGCCCCAGCUUCUCCCAGGCUCAUCCACCCCAAUGACGUCCUCAAGGUUCUGGAGGCCUUCAUCACGGGUCUGAGGAAACCCAGCAAAUGUUUAUUGGGGUCUGCCGUGUGUAGGCACCGUGAAGAGAGCACCUUGUGAUCAGAACAGUGGUGGAAGCCUGCGUGAGGUGUAAUGUCCUAACAGGAUGCGAAGGAAGUGCCGCCUCCGUUUGGCUCUCGGCAAGGGUAUAGGGAGGACAUGGCCCAGGAAUUGUAUGUUCUUAGGUGGGAAGGGGCCUUUCCAGACAUGAGCGCAGGGAAUUUCUUGACAGGAAGGAUGGCCUCAUGUCAUGGGUCUAGGAGGUAGGACCCAUGGGCGGGGACCAGGUCAGAGCUUGGAGACUCUGCCCUGUCUGCCUGUGGUCUUGGUCUUUGUCUUUGCCCUCCUGGCUGGAGCCAGGGGAGGAUUUUCAAGGGAGGAGGAACCAUGAUCUAACGUGCAUUUUAGAAGAAGCCCUUUGAGGGCAGGGAGGGGAGCAGCGCUGGCUACAAGGAGAGCAAGCAAGAGGCUUGUCAGGUGGGAGGGUUAAGGGCAUCAUAGAGUGGAUGGGGAGAAGGUGAGAAAAUUCGGCAGCUGCUUUGGAAGUUCUCAGGAAGAAAGGGAAGUGAUAAUGAGCUGUUGAGCCAUCAAGGUUGUGGAGGAGACUCCAACAGUGUGUUACAAAGGCGACAGGUGGCCUGAGAGGAACAGGGACAAUCAAGGCAAGCUUUCGGAGCAUCUGCCACGAUCUAAUGGAUAGCCUCGGACAGCUGAGUGGGAAUUUGGCAGGCGGAGAGCCAGAACUUCCGGGCACCGCUGACAGUGGGGGAGGAUGUGCGAGAUGACUCGAAGGACUCCGAGUACUGGGAGGCCCUGAGCACGGUCCUCCCUCCUGCCAGGCAGAACCUGUGGGACGCGCUCUACGCAGCCCUGGAGCGAUACAACCUCGUCCUGACCCAGCGG
Heterocephalus glaber (naked mole-rat) is the source of this 3039-nucleotide non-coding RNA. The record is from RefSeq and is a predicted model, not a curated record. NCBI's taxonomy places the organism in Eukaryota, Metazoa, Chordata, Mammalia, Rodentia, Bathyergidae.